AUACUUAUCUGGCGGGGGAGAUGCCAUGAUCAAGAGGGUGGUUUUCCCAGGGCGAGGCUUAUCCAUUGCACUCCGGAUGUGCUGACCCCUGCGAUUUCCCCAAAUGUGGGAAACUCGACUGCAUGAUUUGUGGUAGUGGAGGACCGCGUUUGCACUCUCCCCUG
Molecule: small nuclear RNA, 164 nt
Filed under: Chinchilla lanigera (long-tailed chinchilla)
Lineage: Eukaryota; Metazoa; Chordata; Mammalia; Rodentia; Chinchillidae
Description: U1 spliceosomal RNA (ENSCLAG00000018505.1)
Rfam family: U1 spliceosomal RNA
About the family: U1 is a small nuclear RNA (snRNA) component of the spliceosome (involved in pre-mRNA splicing). Its 5' end forms complementary base pairs with the 5' splice junction, thus defining the 5' donor site of an intron.
Source: Rfam by way of RNAcentral